Molecule: ribosomal RNA, 442 nt
Filed under: uncultured bacterium
Lineage: Bacteria
Description: partial 16S ribosomal RNA
Rfam family: Bacterial small subunit ribosomal RNA
Source: RNAcentral
GCUACGGGGGGCUGCAGUGGGGAAUAUUGGGCAAUGGGCGCAAGCCUGACCCAGCAACGCCGCGUGAAGGAAGAAGGCUUUCGGGUUGUAAACUUCUUUUGUCAGGGAAGAGGAGAAGACGGUACCUGACGAAUAAGCCACGGCUAACUACGGGCCAGCAGCCGCGGUAAUACGGAGGUGGAAAUCGUUGUCCGGCUUUACUGGGUGUAAAGGGCGUGUAGCCGGGUUGACAAGUCAGAGGUGAAAUCCUGCGGCUUAACCGCAGAACUGCAUUUGAAACUGUUGAUCUUGAGUACUGGAGAGGCAGACGGAAUUCCUAGUGUAGCGGUGACAUGCGUAGAUAUUAGGAGGAACACCAGUGGCGAAGGCGGUCUGCUGGACAGCAACUGCCGGUGAGGCGCGAAAGCGUGGGGAGCAAACAGGAUUAGAUACCCUUGUAGUC